Molecule: ribosomal RNA, 253 nt
Filed under: uncultured bacterium
Lineage: Bacteria
Description: partial 16S ribosomal RNA
Rfam family: Bacterial small subunit ribosomal RNA
Source: RNAcentral
UACGGAGGGUGCAAGCGUUAUCCGGAUUCACUGGGUUUAAAGGGUGCGUAGGCGGGUAUAUAAGUCAGUGGUGAAAGCUCCGGGCUUAACUUGGAAACUGCCAUUGAUACUGUAUAUCUUGAAUGUCGUUGAGGUAAGCGGAAUGUUGCAUGUAGCGGUGAAAUGCUUAGAUAUGUUACAGAACACCAAUUGUGAAGACAGCUUACUAAGCGAUAAUUGACGCUGAGGCACGAAAGCGUGGGGAGCAAACAGG